This 702-nucleotide ribosomal RNA is filed under the name Staphylococcus aureus. Its description in RNAcentral is "bacterial SSU rRNA". It matches the Rfam family "Bacterial small subunit ribosomal RNA", at positions 1 to 685 of the family's 1533-position model. Lineage: Bacteria; Bacillati; Bacillota; Bacilli; Caryophanales; Staphylococcaceae. The record is from RNAcentral.
UUUAUGGAGAGUUUGAUCCUGGCUCAGGAUGAACGCUGGCGGCGUGCCUAAUACAUGCAAGUCGAGCGAACGGACGAGAAGCUUGCUUCUCUGAUGUUAGCGGCGGACGGGUGAGUAACACGUGGAUAACCUACCUAUAAGACUGGGAUAACUUCGGGAAACCGGAGCUAAUACCGGAUAAUAUUUUGAACCGCAUGGUUCAAAAGUGAAAGACGGUCUUGCUGUCACUUAUAGAUGGAUCCGCGCUGCAUUAGCUAGUUGGUAAGGUAACGGCUUACCAAGGCAACGAUGCAUAGCCGACCUGAGAGGGUGAUCGGCCACACUGGAACUGAGACACGGUCCAGACUCCUACGGGAGGCAGCAGUAGGGAAUCUUCCGCAAUGGGCGAAAGCCUGACGGAGCAACGCCGCGUGAGUGAUGAAGGUCUUCGGAUCGUAAAACUCUGUUAUUAGGGAAGAACAUAUGUGUAAGUAACUGUGCACAUCUUGACGGUACCUAAUCAGAAAGCCACGGCUAACUACGUGCCAGCAGCCGCGGUAAUACGUAGGUGGCAAGCGUUAUCCGGAAUUAUUGGGCGUAAAGCGCGCGUAGGCGGUUUUUUAAGUCUGAUGUGAAAGCCCACGGCUCAACCGUGGAGGGUCAUUGGAAACUGGAAAACUUGAGUGCAGAAGAGGAAAGUGGAAUUCCAUGUGUAGCGGUGAA